AUUGAACGCUGGCGGCAUGCCUUACACAUGCAAGUCGAACGGUAACAGGUCUUCGGAUGCUGACGAGUGGCGAACGGGUGAGUAAUACAUCGGAACGUGCCUAGUAGUGGGGGAUAACUACUCGAAAGAGUGGCUAAUACCGCAUGAGAUCUACGGAUGAAAACAGGGGAUCGCAAGACCUUGUGCUACUAGAGCGGCCGAUGGCAGAGUAGGUAGUUGGUGGGGUAAAAGCUUACCAAGCCGACGAUCUGUAGCUGGUCUGAGAGGACGAUCAGCCAAACGGGGACUGAGAAACGGCCCAGACUCCUACGGGAGGCAGCAGUGGGGAAUUUUGGACAAUGGGCGAAAGCCUGAUCCAGCAAUGCCGCGUGCAGGAUGAAGGCCUUCGGGUUGUAAACUGCUUUUGUACGGAACGAAAAGCCCCGGGUUAAUACCCUGGGGUCAUGACGGUACCGUAAGAAUAAGCACCGGCUAACUACGUGCCAGCCGCCGCCGUAA
Molecule: ribosomal RNA, 498 nt
Filed under: uncultured bacterium
Lineage: Bacteria
Description: partial 16S ribosomal RNA
Rfam family: Bacterial small subunit ribosomal RNA
Source: RNAcentral